UCUGACAGUGGUAGCAAUAAACAGAGAAAGCACUGAACAGUGAAAGUAGGUCCUGCAGGUUGCUCCUUCCUGGGGAUUAUAGUGGCAGAGCCUGUGGGGAAGUUUACAGAGUGCCUGCUCAUGUCAUUCAAAUGGAAACAUUCCCUCUGGAUGACAGUCAUUUGAGUUGGAGUCAUGGUGUAGGAGCAGCCAGGGUUGCCAAAGAGGCAACUGUAGGGAGGAAAGGGCACGUAGGAGAAAAGGCAGGAUAAUACCUGAAAACACAAACAGAAUUAAAAGACUUUGGUUUUGGAGAAGGUGCUGCUAGACUGCUCCUUCUCCUCAGUCCUAUCUGAUUAGUAAUAAACGACGUGAUCUCUGGCCACAGCUGACAUACCACACGGUGGCUGCGUAGCUGCUACCAGCCAGGCCAGGCCGCCCUGCCCCCUCAGGGUGGAAACGCCCUCAGGGGCCUGUCCACAGCAGCCACCCUGUGGCUUCCCCCCCUCAGGAGGAGAACCAAGCUACUUAAAACCCUCAAAACUGCAGUUUUUGCCUCUUUCAUUCAGCAAAAAUUAUAGGCAGUUGCCGACGCUGCAGUGCCUGUACCUUCCCUUGUUUCAGAGAGGAGGUGGAGAGGGAAAAUUCUGUCCAGGCCUGGGAGCACAACUAGAAAGACAUUCCAAAACCGGCUGCAUGGUAUUUAGAGAUCUGGGUACCAGCUGUAACGUGCACAUAUUUGCAGAGACUUCUGUUCAGCUAAGAAUGGGCUGCGGACUCAGAGUCUUUGCUAUGAGAGGUUCUGACAAUGAUUUGGAGUUGUUAAUGUCAGAAAUGCUGUGUAGGAGGAAGUAUUACAUGUCAGUUUCCCAGAAGGGGAUGGCUGAGGUACAACGAUCAACACCUCUCCAAAAUCGCACAGUGUCUUUGAAGAAAAGGUCUUGAUGCUUAGUCCAAAACUCUGACGAGAAGAUACCAUGUGAAACACAGGAACUCGUCUGAAUUUUACACCCUUUGGGGAAGAGGGUGAGUGCAACAGCCACUCCCUGCUCUCAUGACUGGGCAUCACUGCGGAGGUGAUGCUUACAGCCCCUUUGACACCUCCAUCAACACAUCUGCACCUAAACUUUCUUGCAUGCUUUUACGUCUGUGCUGUGUCUGAAAAUGCAUAGCAAUGAUAUUUAAGGAAAUCCAAGGAACAGAUGUAAAUCAGCACAAUUUACUACGUCAUUAGUUCCCCAAGUGCUUUGGGCCGGCUCUGCUGACAAAAGAGGCAGUCCUGCCCUCUUCCUGCUCCCACGCUGUCCCCUCCCUUGCGCUGACACAACCAUGAGGUGAAAUGCAUUGGGAAAUGCAUCCAGUUCCAAUCUUACCCCAGCAAAAAGCCUGAAUGGCUGGGGAAGGGGAGAUUUGCUUCCAUUCAGGGUGUCGCCAGCAUGUGCCGGAUUAAAGUCCUUGUGGAAGCACCACAUCAGUGCAAUUCACUGGUCUUCCUGAGAGCCAGGAGCUUUGCUAGCUUGUCCCAGCAGCUCCUGGCUAAAAGAGAAUUGUGCUGCAGCUGGAAACUCAAUCAGGCGGCUCUCAAAGCGUUUCAUUCAUACGUGGUCCUCAGUCGGGUCUUAGUGCACCUUCACUACAGGCAGUGGUGCUUCAUAAGCCUGUCAACGCUGCCGUCAAACAAAGGCUCGUCUCAAGACUUUGUGUUGUGUAAAUAAACCUUGUGCCUAGCAGGGUGUCA
Molecule: long non-coding RNA, 1717 nt
Filed under: Anser brachyrhynchus (Pink-footed goose)
Lineage: Eukaryota; Metazoa; Chordata; Aves; Anseriformes; Anatidae
Description: lncRNA (ENSABRG00000022464.1)
Source: RNAcentral